RNAcentral lists this ribosomal RNA (253 nucleotides) under uncultured bacterium. RNAcentral describes it as "partial 16S ribosomal RNA". It matches the Rfam family "Bacterial small subunit ribosomal RNA", at positions 524 to 776 of the family's 1533-position model. The record is from RNAcentral.
UACGUAGGUGGCAAGCGUUGUCCGGAUUUACUGGGCGUAAAGGAUGCGUAGGCGGACAUUUAAGUCAGAUGUGAAAUACCCGAGCUUAACUUGGGUGCUGCAUUUGAAACUGGGUGUCUAGAGUGCAGGAGAGGUAAGUGGAAUUCCUAGUGUAGCGGUGAAAUGCGUAGAGAUUAGGAAGAACACCUGUGGUGUAGACGGCUCUCUGGACCGCAACUGACGCUGAGACACGAAAGCGUGGGUAGCAAACAGG